CCUCCAACCCCCCAGCCAGCAACUCCUAAUCCAUCAAUCAUGGUUGUAUGAGAAUCAGUUCCAACCACACUAUCAGGGUAGAGUGUGCCAUCAGUGUUGAAAACAACCCGUCCAAGGUAUUCAAGAUUCACCUGAUGCACAAUACCAGAACCUGGAGGAACUACAAGCAUAUUAUGGAAAGCAUUUGAUCCCCAUUUAAGAAAAGCAAAUCUCUCCUUGUUCCUCUGAAAUUCAAGCUCCAUAUUUGCCUGCACCGCAUUUUCUGAUCGUGUCACAUCAACUUGAACCGAAUGAUCAAUAACCAAAUCUACAGGAACCAGAGGAUUGAUCUUGUUGGAAUCACCACCAAGGUUGCUCAUGGCAUCACGCAUAGAAGCAAGGUCCACAACAGCUGGUACUCCAGUAAAAUCCUGCAAGAGAACACGGGCAGGCUUGAAGGGAAUUUCAACUUGUUUUGGUGAUGAAUUUUCCCAAUCAAUGAUUUUUUCAACAUCUUCUUUGGUGACUUGGAAGUUGUCACAGUUACGAAUUGCAGAUUCAAGAAGGAUUCUGACUGAAUAGGGCAGUUUAUCAAUUCUUGGAUCAUUUAAUGCAGGAAGACUAUAGAACUUCCCAAAUUCACCACCGCCUGGUUUUGGGAGAGAUGUAAAGAUUCCCUUAAAAGGAUUUUCAGGAGCCAUAGUAGCUAUCUUUCGUUGAAAUCGUUCGAUCACAGGAGCAACAGCUCUGAUCUGGGACCGGAGACUAACCGGAGACCGCCAAUCGACACCGUGACUCCAGCGAGGAACCGAGCACCGAAGGGAUCUAACGGCAGCAGAGAAGCUGAGAGAUCGGUGCUGAGUAGUAUUAGCGAAAGACGAAGGAGAGACCUUAGGAGGCGGAGAAGUGAGAGCCGAGGCUCUAGUAAUGGAGGAAGAGAGAGAAGAGGAAAGUCUAGCCCUAGACGCUCUGAGGAGCGAAGAGGCUGAGGUUGAAGCCGUCAUAUACAUGACGAAUUUCACAUAAAAAAGCUCAAAUUUGCAGAUAAGAUGAAGGUGAGAGAGACAAAGAAAGAUGAUUGCAGAGAUGAGGAAGAAAGCUAACAGUUUCUGUCUACACGAUUUGAUGAUUUAAGAGAGAGAGAGAGAGAGAGAGGGAGAG
RNAcentral lists this unclassified non-coding RNA (1140 nucleotides) under Hevea brasiliensis (rubber tree). The record is from RNAcentral. Lineage: Eukaryota; Viridiplantae; Streptophyta; Magnoliopsida; Malpighiales; Euphorbiaceae.